Cyprinus carpio (common carp) is the source of this 1608-nucleotide long non-coding RNA. The record is from Ensembl. Lineage: Eukaryota; Metazoa; Chordata; Actinopteri; Cypriniformes; Cyprinidae.
AUGGACCCUGUGAAGAAAAUAACAAAAGAAGAUACUUGGAGGACUGAUGACUUAAAAGUGCACAUCGAGGCACACAAUGAGGAGAGCAAAAGAAGAUCUAAACGAGAAGAGGAGCACAGGAAAUACAGGGAUGGAGAGUCUCUGGAUCGCCGUCGCAGAGAUCCUGAUCGAGAUGCAAAAAGAGAAAAAGAAAAACGGAGAGAGCGAGAAAGCACAAGAGAGAAGAGCAAACACAGAGACCCAGACGGGGAUAGAAACCAGGACGACAAGCUGGAAGACAUCAGGGAGGAUAGAUAUAAAGAGAGAAAGAGAGAGCGAGAGAGAGACAACAGACACAGAGAUGGAGAUGAAGAAGAAAAAAGACACAGUCGAGGGGAGAAGGAAACUGGUGAAAGACGGAGGGAUAGAGAAAAGGACCGAUAUAAAGACAGGGACAUAGACAUGUACAGUCAGGGGGCCAGGGGUACAAACAGGGAAGGAGAAAAAGAUAGAGAUAGAAGAAGAACUGAGAGAGACAGGGAGCGAAAAAGUGAAACAGAUAGAAGGAAAGAGGAGAGAAGAGACGGAGAAAAAGACGAAAGGGAGAGAGACAAAGAACGAGAAAGAGAGAGGAGAGAAAGACACCGAGCAAGAGAAAGUGAACAGCAGCGACAUGAACAUGAGGAAAAACAGAGGGACGGAGAAAGGAGAGAGAGACGCAGUGAUAAAGAACACUCUGGACACAAAGAAAAAGAACACAGAAGAGAUAGAGAAGAUAGAGAGAAGAGAAGAAGGGAUAAAGAAAGUCAUGUGGCACACACAAGUCACUCUCGAGAAGCUGAACAGAAUCACCAGGAGUCGAAAGAGUCAAAGGAUUAUUUCCACAGCAUCAAAGAUGGGGAUAGGGAAAAGGCCAGGGAGCGGGAAGAGAGAGAUAAACGGCGUGAAAAAAGGCACAAAGAGGCUUCAGAAUCCAAGAGGAGUGACAGAGAGCGGAAACAUAAAGAUUCAUCAGGACAUGACCUGAGUGAAAGGAUAAAUAGAGACAAAGAGGAACCUACCAAGAUACCUCAGUUAACAUGGAGGUCUGUUCAAGCUGAAAUGAGUGAUCCAGAGAUCCCUGUAAGAUUUCUGUUUAAAGUCAGCAUGAAAUGAAAAUUCAGCCUAUCUAAUGCACGUUAUUCAUCUCAUUAGGAACAAUUUAUUUUUAUUUGUAAUUUUUUGUCAAAAUGUCAUGGAAGGACGUCUUGCGUAAAAAAAAAUGUCCCUUCAUAUGUUAAAAUCUUGUAAGAGAAGAUUUAAGAUAAGUUAAAAUUCUCUAUUGUUAACAACAUGGAUUUAACACUUAAUGUUAACUCUUCUACUAUUACUAGUGUACUGCAUGUGCAUUAAAUUGAAGUCCAAAUGGACUCUAAACAAAACCUGACUCGAUCAGACUUGCCUAGUACUGUCAAAUUUUAAGACCAAACCGAAUCAUUCUCUAUGUGUUUCUUCUCUGACUGAACAGAGCUAUAAGCACAGAUUUGUACAGCUCUGAUUUAAAGAUUCCAAAGAGUGUAAUUAAGUGCAUUAAAAAAAGUAAAUGCGUUUUUAAAUGUAAAGCACAUAAUCAUGUAUAAUACAAACCAA